Molecule: ribosomal RNA, 2104 nt
Filed under: Tegolophus suffruticosae
Lineage: Eukaryota; Metazoa; Arthropoda; Arachnida; Trombidiformes; Eriophyidae
Description: partial small subunit ribosomal RNA
Rfam family: Eukaryotic small subunit ribosomal RNA
Source: RNAcentral
AAGUUCAAGCUCCGAUUGUGAGGGCGAAACCGCGAAUGGCUCAUUAAAUCAGUCAUAAUCUACUUGAUGAGGUUAGAUGGAUAACUGUGGUAAUUCUAGAGCUAAUACAUGUCGAGGAGAGCGAUUGGCAAAAGUUCCGCGUUUAUUAGACUAAGACCAGCGUCCCUCGGGACAAAUUGAAGGUGACUCUGAGUAAAUAACGGGUGCAAGCCCGUGAAGCCGACCUGGCACUCAAACCGUCGGCGGGCGAAUCAAUCGAGUGUCUGCUCUAUCAACUGUGGAUGGUAGGGUAAUUGCCUACCAUGGUGAUGACGGGUAACGGGGAGUUAGGGCUCGACUCCGGAGAACAAGCCUGAGAAACGGCUAGUAGGACUAAGGUCUGCAGCAGGCGCGAAACUUACACAAUGCUAGAUUUCAAUUAGCGAUGUAGUGAAGAAAAAUAACGAUGUGCUUGCAUUUAAAGAUGCUUGCACAAUUGGAAUGAGACGACUCUAAACCGGUCAGUCGAGUAACAAAUGGAGGGCAAGUCUGGUGCCAGCAGCCGCGGUAAUUCCAGCUCCAUUAGCAUACAUUAAAGUUGUUGCGGUUAAAAAGCUCGUAGUUGAAUGUAGUGGUUGUUUGGGUUAUAUGUAGGCGUUAAGCGGCCUGUCGUGUCUGCAUACUCAAUAGCUAGUUUCGUCACUUAAUCGAGUGCGAAGCAGGUUUGGUUUCCGGACGCAAGUCACACUCAACAGGUUUACCUUGAGAAAAUCAGAGUGCUCAGAGCAGGCAGUUGGGGUGUAAAACCUCUUUAUGCUUGAAUGAUGUUGCAUGGAAUAAUAGAAUACGGCCUCGGUUCUAUUCUGUUGGUCUUAUAGAACAACAAACAAGUUGGUGUCGUCACUGAGGCGUGGGAUUGGUUGUUUGGUGGAGGGACUUGUUGUCUGGCGGUAAAAUUUCAGUCCAACCAACCUCAGACUAAAAAGCACCCUCCCCAUGCCAGACUUUCCAACUGAGGCAAUGGUUAAAAGAAAUAGUCGCGGCGGCAUCAGUACUGCGAGAGGUGAAAUUCUUAGACCGAUGCAAGACUAACUGAAGCGAAAGCGUUUGCCGAGGAUAUUUUCAUUAAUCAAGAACGAAAGUUAGAGGUUCGAAGGCGAUCAGAUACCGCCCUAGUUCUAACCAUAAACGUUGCCAACUAGCAAUUGGGUUGCGAUUCCUUUAGUGGGCGCCUAAAAAACGUCCACCAUUAUGAUCCACCCAGCGGCUCUCGUAGGGAAACCAAAGUGUUUGGGUUCCGGGGGAAGUAUGAUUGCAAAGUUGAAACUUAAAGGAAUUGACGGAAGGGCACCACCAGGAGUGGAGCCUGCGGCUUAAUUUGACUCAACACGGGGAAACUUACUAGAUUAGAACUCUGGAAUGAUUGACAGAUUGAUAGCUCUUUCUUGAUUCAGAGGAUGGUGGUGCAUGGCCGUUCUUGAUUCGUAUUCCGAAACGUCUGCUUAAUUGCGAUAACGAGUGAGACCUCACCCAACUAACUAGUGCGCGGUUGCGUUGUUGGGCAUUAAGUGCGGCCAAGUGUUGUUGGGUGGCAACAUCAAAUAGCACUCCAUGCGAUGCUUCUUCUCGACCCGUGACUUCUUAAAGGGAUAACGGUGUUUUACCGUAAGAAACGAGGCAAUAACAGGUCUGUGAUGCCCUUAGAUAUUCUAGGCCGCACGCGUGCUACAAUGGCGUGUGCAGAGAGCUUGUUCGAGGUUCGUCCAGAGAGAACUAGCGGUUUGGUUGGUUGGCGGGGCAACUCGUGCCGGUCGAUCGUCAAGUGACUCUGGCGGGCCGAGAGAAACCGCGGCCGAAAGGUCGCGGCAAUCAGAAAUACACGCCGUGAUUUGGGAUUGGGGAUUGCAAUUGUUGCCCAUGAACGAGGAAUUCCCAGUAAGCGCGAUUCAUCAUAUCGCGUUGAUUACGUCCCUGCCCUUUGUACACACCGCCCGUCGCUACUACCGAUUGGAAGUUUUAGUGAGGCAUCUGGACUCGCCGGCCACGGGAGGAAUCCUUCGGCUGGAGGGGAAGUUUGUCGAACUCAAAUUUCUAGAGGAAGUAAAAGUCGUAACAAGGUUUCCGU